Molecule: long non-coding RNA, 1023 nt
Organism: Oncorhynchus keta (chum salmon)
Lineage: Eukaryota; Metazoa; Chordata; Actinopteri; Salmoniformes; Salmonidae
Exons: 5
Source: RefSeq, a predicted model, not a curated record
CUACUUCAGGUUUGGGUUUUGUUGUCAUUAGCAAACAUGGCGGCGCCCAUCAACAGCUGAAGUUGGAGCACUCCAGAGGUUUAUAAACACCAUGAGCAACACAAUAUGUGCCCCUCGCGAACAAAUUAUAGAAAAUGAAGGAGACCUAAAGAAGUUAAGGUGUACACCAUCAACUUGGAGUGACCAUGUAACCUGAAUGUUGUGUUCAGUAACGUGGGAUUCUAGCUCAGGCAGCCAAAAGGCACAUGGAUGAGAAGAGUUUUACUACAUGUGCUAUGCCCCAGAGUAUGAGACAGUGGAGAACACCAUAUUAAAGCUGCAAGACGGGAGAUAUGUGAAUAGUACGGCUCAAAAUAAAGAACAGGACCAGGGGGAUGAAGAGAAAAAAAGCCCAUGUCUUCAGAUACAUUUGCUACCACAGCCAGGACUUCUUAAGGUAGCAUCAGUUCCUGAAGUCAAGCCAACAGAGAAGAAGACAAAGCCAGGAAAGCCUCAGAAAGUUAAUCUAACAGGGAAAAGGAAAGGGGGAUACCUAGUGAAUGUGAACUGAAUGUAUUCAACUGAAAUGUGUCUUCCUCAUUUAACCCAACCCCUCUGAAUCAGAGAGGUGUGGAGGGCUGCCUUAAUCGACAUCCACGUCUUCGCCGCCUGGGGAACAAUGGGUUAACUGCCUUGCUCAGGGGCAGAAAGACAGAACAGACUCCAUGUUCCGAAACGGACAGCAUCACACAGAAGAUAAUGCAUACAUUUGCAUACAAGUUCCUAGACUUUACACCAAUUAGACAGUACUUCAUCUUUUCUCAACAUGUUUUAUUUGUAUAUUUCCCAUCGGAGUAUAAGUGUUUUUAUAUAUAUUUUUAUUUGUUUAUAUAUAUUUGCAGUUUCAUGAAAAUGAAUAAAGUAGUGUUGUCCUUAAUGCUCAAGUGUAUCCUGUAUAUAAGUAUAAGUGUUUUUAUAUAUAUUUUUAUUUGUUUAUAUAUAUUUUCAGUUUCAUGAAAAUGAAUAAAGUAGUGUUGUCCUUAA